This is a long non-coding RNA of Anthonomus grandis grandis, 532 nucleotides long. RefSeq lists it as uncharacterized. The record is from RefSeq and is a predicted model, not a curated record. NCBI's taxonomy places the organism in Eukaryota, Metazoa, Arthropoda, Insecta, Coleoptera, Curculionidae. The transcript has 2 exons.
GGUCGCAAUCUUGGCGCUAGUAAAAAUAAAUGCCUCUUUCGUGAGUGCUCUUGUCUUCGUAGUGAAGUGUGUAGUUAAAUUAGAUGACUAUUUUCGAUUGUCUUCACACGGAGCUAUGUUAACUUUUUAAAAAUGUCUAAAAAUUUUGUAAAUUAAACCAAGCCGAAAAUCAUUAUAAAAUGUCCGAUACUUAUUCGUUGUAAGAGUACUUCAGCUGAUUUUAACUGAUAGCUAAUGAUGAGCGGUGCCUGUGUAAUGAUCGUUAGCCGGCGUGACCUCCUGUACCACAAACCGUAUUUUCCUAAUCCUACAGCAUAAGAAUCUUGAUGCUAUCCACAUUUAAGGCACCUGGCCGGAAGACGUCAAUAAUGCUUCUUCUGGUCAACUUAUUAAAUUUUUAGGAAGAUUAAUCAUGCUUAGCAUGCCCGCACGAAGAGAUCUACCGAGAUGCGCUAUGAGGUACUACAAAACCCUGCCGCUGCAGUCGUUUGUUACAUUGCAUUUAAUUUUUUAAUAUAUCUUUUGUUUUCUU